GUUAAAUUAAAUUUUAUUGGUAACUACAAUUCCCUCUUCCCACCCUCCCUUCCUCUCUUUCUCUCUCUCUCUAUAGAGCAAGCACAGAGACAUUUGCAGCUCAGGGCAAAAAUGAGUUCACCAGUUUUACAGGGUUUCACAAAAUCCCUUGCUAUGACUGUGGUUUCUGAAAUUGGUGACCGAACAUUUUGCAUUGCCGCUAUCUUAGCCAUGCGUCACCCAAGAAAGAGCGUCUUGUUUGGCUGCCUGUCUUCUGUGAUUGUAAGUUUGUUUCUUUCCUUUUGUGCGUGUGUGUGUGUGUGUUUUUUUUGCUGAAUUAUUGAUAAAAAUGUAAUACAAAAAUUGUUAAGAGCAAAAAAGGUACUUGAAUCUUCAGAUCUAGCCGCCUCCAGGGAUCCUGUCGAUUUCUCCGGCUAUGAGGU
This is a non-coding RNA of Camellia sinensis, 422 nucleotides long. Lineage: Eukaryota; Viridiplantae; Streptophyta; Magnoliopsida; Ericales; Theaceae. The record is from RefSeq and is a predicted model, not a curated record.